AGAGUUUGAUCCUGGCUCAGGACGAACGCUGGCGGCGUGCUUAAUACAUGCAAGUCGAGCGGAACUUUAGAUGAAGCUUGCGAUUCUAAAGUCGAGCGGCGGACGGGUGAGUAACGCGUGGGCAACAUGCCCUCUAGUCUGGGACAACAGUUCGAAAGGACUGCUAACACCGGAUAAUGUGGUUUUGAGACAUCUCGAGAUCAUUAAAGUUUACGCUAGAGGAUUGGCCCGCGUCCCAUUAGCUAGUUGGUGAGGUAACGGCUCACCAAGGCGACGAUGGGUAGCCGACCUGAGAGAGUGAACGGCCACAUUGGGACUGAGACACGGCCCAAACUCCUACGGGAGGCAGCAGUGGGGAAUAUUGCACAAUGGGGGAAACCCUGAUGCAGCGACGCCGCGUGAGUGAAGAAGUAUUUCGGUAUGUAAAGCUCUAUCAGUAGGGAAGAAUUUAUGACGGUACCUAACUAAGAAGCCCCGGCUAACUACGUGCCAGCAGCCGCGGUAAUACGUAGGGGGCAAGCGUUAUCCGGAUUUACUGGGUGUAAAGGGAGCGUAGGUGGCAAGGUAAGUCAGAUGUGAAAACCCAGGGCUCAACUCUGGGACUGCAUUUGAAACUAUCUGGCUAGAGUGCAGGAGAGGUAAGUGGAAUUCCUAGUGUAGCGGUGAAAUGCGUAGAUAUUAGGAGGAACACCAGUGGCGAAGGCGGCUUACUGGACUGUAACUGACACUGAGGCUCGAAAGCGUGGGGAGCAAACAGGAUUAGAUACCCUGGGUAGUCCACGCCGUAAACGAUGAAUACUAGGUGUCGGGGUCCAAACGGACCUCGGUGCCGCAGCUAACGCAUUAAGUAUUCCACCUGGGGAGUACGUUCGCAAGAAUGAAACUCAAAUGAAAUUGACG
RNAcentral lists this ribosomal RNA (900 nucleotides) under uncultured bacterium. Its description in RNAcentral is "bacterial SSU rRNA". It matches the Rfam family "Bacterial small subunit ribosomal RNA", at positions 8 to 915 of the family's 1533-position model. The record is from RNAcentral.